GAAAAUUCCAGCAGGACAAAGAAACACAGGCUGGGAGGUGAGCUGCUCAGUUGCCAGAGUAUCAACCUGAGCCCAGGACACUGCCAGGCUGCUGAGUCAAAGAGGGUUUAGCAGCCCAUUUUCAUAGACAGACAGCUCUAGGCCUCUGGGUUGGAGGAUGUGUGCAUUGAGAAGAGGCCUACAGUAAACUCUCCCCAGACUUCUGUGGACCUAGGAGGCUGCUGACUUCAUAGGGCUCCCCCACCUACAUUCCACCACAUUGAAGGGCUUACCUGCAUGGUGCCAGUAAAGGAGAACUGCAAUCCAAGCAAAUGUGGUGGGUGUGAAGCUUUCAAGAAGUUGGGUCAAGAACAAGGACUGAAAGAGGAGCAUCAAUUUAUGGGGGCCACUGAGGCUUUCAGAGAUUUUGUGACCUACCAAACCGGCACAGCUAGUAAAUGGAUGACAAGCCAUUAACAUGGAAAGAAGAAGAGGCAUCCAAAGUGUUGGGUCCGCAUCGCCCUUGCCUUGGAGGAAGCUCCAAAUAGAGGGAAGGAUGGUUUCCAGCAGUCCCUCAAGUGACUUUCCUCCUUCGUGGGAUCCAGUUACACCCAGCAGACUUCAGUUUGAAUAAACAGAACUAGAUGAACACACCUAGGGAAUCUUUGAGGCCAGCCUCAGCUUUUAACAUCCAGCUACAGGGAGGUGAGAGAAGCUUCAGCCAGUUGUUUUCUAAGAGCGAGAUAAAGAAACCACCCUCCAAUUAUGCAUCAAAUUCUGCUUCACAGUUGAAUAACGGGCAUGAAAUCGGAUGUUUUUCAAGCUCAGUAUAAAGCAGUGGAAAACCUACCUCCCCUCUCCCUCCAUAAAGAACAUCUAAACGCACAGCAUUUAAUUUCUGAACAGGGCAAUGUUCUUUUUAAGGGAAAUGUUAAGCAGGGAUUAGAGACACGAUGGGCUGUGUAACUCUAUCCUCAGCCCUCUCAUUGUUAAUAGUAAUUUUUUUUUGGCGGCGUCUGUGCAGAGAUGUGGGAAAAACCAAAGUCUUAUGUAAAUGAGAAUUGACACACGCUCGAUAAACCAAAUGCCAGACCUGAGGUCUUAAUUACACAGGAGUCCAGAUGUCAAAACGAAUGCAGCUUAUUGACGUUCAGAGAUUUCACUCGGUAUUAAGUUGGACGACCUUCUUCCGGGACCAGAGAGCAAAGCGCUGGUUUCUCAUUACCCAGGGCCAUGUUCACAAAUGGCAAAGAGCUGUGUUCAUGCCUAGACACUUUUCUAGGUGGAAUAUAUCCCUGAACCACAACACUUAACACCUGCUCAUAGUGGGACAAGCAAAACAAGAUGUUUUCAGGUGUGGGACAAACCACUGCUAAUUGACCAAGGGCUCUUCUGAGCAGAGGUCCCUAACUGCACCCUCUCUCUCCACUCAGCCCCCACCUCCAUCGUGCCUAUUCAUGUAGUCUCAUUCGUUGCCUCUAAGGCAUUGCCAGGGGCACUACUUCAACUUCAACAACUAAUACUCCUGUGAGAUACAUAAGAGCAUUAGUAGUCACUUUUUAAUGUCAAGAAACAAAGUCCAUAAUUACUAAGCAUUUAUGUUGCUGAAGAUGAGAACACUUGGCAGCUUGGGUAGCUCACAAAGCAGCUCCUGGUAGACUAGGUUUACUGGCCCAUAGCUUUAUUCGUUAGUGGAGACAAUGGCCAUUACCCUAAGCAGCACAGGCUCUGUUUUUAAAGGGAGAGAAAGCUACUUUCAGGCUUGGGCAUAACCAAACGGUGCUCAGUGGGAGUCAGGUUCUUUGCCUUGAAAUAGAAAAAUAAUACACCCUUUCCCUCCACCUCCACUAAUUAAAGUGUCAGGAUGGAGCCCCGACACUGACUUGACACAUGACAUGAUGUCUCGUGUAAUUGGACGUGUUUCACGCUAACAUCAAAGCCUCGUCAAGGAUGAUGGAGCGAGAUGUUUAGUGCAUGCCUGUUGCAGUCUGACAUAUAACUCCAUCCAGCUUCAUUCACAGGCUCUCGCUCACCGGGAGAUUAACCCGCCAAGCUGCUGAGUGAGAAGGGACAGAGCAGGCCCUGACGGGAGGCCUGGGACGCAGGGGAAAUCAAAACAAGUCCACCUGCUUAAGGAGACUGCCGCACUGUGACCUCGUCCUCCGGACAUCUGUGGCAAGUGUUACCGCAGCCACUGAUGUGGCACUGGGCCAUUUACAGCGGCCUCAUGAUAUUCUUUUUCACGACUGUGUUUAUGCUGUUGUUUAACAACUUUGUAUAACAAUCUCUUUUCACUCCAAAUAAACCUUAGUGCCUG
RNAcentral lists this long non-coding RNA (2296 nucleotides) under Pan troglodytes (chimpanzee). RNAcentral describes it as "long non-coding RNA NONPTRT013826". Lineage: Eukaryota; Metazoa; Chordata; Mammalia; Primates; Hominidae. The record is from RNAcentral.